GAUAAAUAAAUUGAGUGUUGUGAUAUAUUCAUUUGUUUGAAUCUUGCAAGAGAGAAGAAAGAAAAUGGGAAGGAGCAAGGUGUUAGUUUUGUGGAUCCUAAUCUCUCUUUCUCUUCUCGCUACUCACGUUAGAUCUGAUGCCUCCGAUCACCGUUACGGCGACGGAGAUCCCGUUCCUCUUUACGCUAACAAAGUCAGUACCUUUCAUAACCCCAGGUACCCUCCGAUCUCCUUUCAAUUUCUCUGAUCUUCUUUUUUCAAUUUACUCUUCGAACAUUUUGAACAAAGCAGCAACGAGAUCUAGAGACAGAUGACUGAUGAGGUUGCGGCGAGUAGAGAGGCAGCGACGAAUGGCCACGGACAGAGGCAGUCAGGCAGACGAACGAUUGGCCGCAGCGAGCGAUUUCGUGAGCGAGCAGACGAGCGAUUAUUGUAGAGAGACGACCGCACGUUUGUCUUGAUUCAUGAAUCUGAUUAUGGAGGAGGGAGAGAGGAAGGCUGGAACUUGUAAGCAAAAGGGAGAGAGGAAGGCUGGAUGGAAGAGAGAGGAAGAAUGAGAAAACUGAAUUAAGUUUAGUGAAACGUAUGGUUACCUUGACCUCCCAUUUUGUGUAACAGAUUUGUUUCUAGUUUAUUUAACUCUUGUUUAAUAACAAGAGAAGACUGAAGCGCUUGGUGAGGUGUUGAAUGGAGAUCGCCUUGUUAGUGCUCCUUAUGAACUUCACUUUAGAAACUAAUGGAUAUGAAUAUUAACAAAGGCAAUGAAUAAUGCUAAUGAGAAUAAAGAAUGAUAAUGAAUGAUGAUGUUACCUUUCAAACUCUCAACAGCAAAUCUACACCAAGCGAGUUCUUUGACGGACAAGUCUAGCAAUUUCAAACAUGUUGAAAUGGCGUUGGAGAAACAAAAGUGGUCAACACCAUUAACUUUGGUGAGCUCAAACUGCAGAAUAGAUGUAACAUCCUGCAACACUUCCUCUACAGUCUUCAAGGAAACAACAAACUCAUAAGGAGUCACAUUCAAACACUCUAGUCUCUUUAGACUGUUUAGACUAAAGCCAACAGUAGAAGAAUCAAACUGAGUGCAAAAGAAAAUGAAAAUGAAAAACAUGGACAAAGAUGGUUGUUUAAUUAGAUGGUGAAAUAGCCAUUAGAACAAAUAAAAAACUUCUAAGUUUGAGUUUGAGUUUGAGUCUAUAGAACUUCAGUCAUAUUUAUAGUGAAUAUAAAGUUCAUGUGUUUUCAAUUAAUUAAAAAUAUUUUAUGUAAAA
Molecule: RNA transcript, 1268 nt
Organism: Cicer arietinum (chickpea)
Lineage: Eukaryota; Viridiplantae; Streptophyta; Magnoliopsida; Fabales; Fabaceae
Gene name: transmembrane 9 superfamily member 3-like
Source: RefSeq, a predicted model, not a curated record